Molecule: long non-coding RNA, 298 nt
Filed under: Musa acuminata (dwarf banana)
Lineage: Eukaryota; Viridiplantae; Streptophyta; Magnoliopsida; Zingiberales; Musaceae
Description: long non-coding RNA (MACU_LNC009748)
Source: RNAcentral
CUGGCUUGUCUCUUUUUGUUGAUGACAAAGGGGGAGAAGUGAUGACUAAGUGAUGACUUACACCAUAACAAUAGCAUGACUUAUAUGAAUUACAAAAACUUGUGUGAUAUGAAUGUCUUAUAUGCCUUGCAAAAUCCUUGAAAAUAUCGCAAGAUUGAUUGAUCAUAUUGAAGACAUGCCUUACAUUUACAUUAUGAAAUUCAUGUUGAAAAUCUUUAUCUUCUAUCGUAGUAAAAAUUGUCUCUUAUCAUGAUUUUCAUCGAAGUUUUGUAUUUACUAUUGCUUAAUGAGAAUGACG